This 366-nucleotide unclassified non-coding RNA is filed under the name Hevea brasiliensis (rubber tree). The record is from RNAcentral. Lineage: Eukaryota; Viridiplantae; Streptophyta; Magnoliopsida; Malpighiales; Euphorbiaceae.
UGCUGGAGGAGGUGAUGGAGGUGGAGGAGGAGUUUCUUGUGGAGGGGAAUCAGGGUUGGGAGGCCGCAUUGCCAAGGGCGAAACUUGGAGAGGGGAGGUUUGAGGGGAAUGAGGAGGCGACUCCAUUGGUUGCCGAUGGUGAGGAUGGAGGAGAUGAGGGAGAAAAUGAAAAAGGCAGAGAGAAAUUAAGGCAAAUGCGGCAAAAAUAGGAGUGGAGAAGAAGAAGAGAGGUAAUGCUGGGAGAAAUGGAAGUGGAGGGACAGUCGUGAACAGAAAAGACGGGAAGAGGAGGUGGGAAAAAUGGUUGCCGAAAAGAAAUUUUGAUUUGAACAGGGUUUGUGUAAAACUGCAUAAGUGAAAAGUGAG